Molecule: ribosomal RNA, 1473 nt
Filed under: uncultured Bordetella sp.
Lineage: Bacteria; Pseudomonadati; Pseudomonadota; Betaproteobacteria; Burkholderiales; Alcaligenaceae
Description: partial 16S-23S ribosomal RNA intergenic spacer
Rfam family: Bacterial small subunit ribosomal RNA
Source: RNAcentral
AGUUCGAUUCUGGCUCAGAUUGAACGCUGGCGGGAUGCUUACACAUGCAAGUCGAACGGCAGCACGGACUUCGGUCUUUGGUGGCGAGUGGCGAACGGGUGAGUAAUGGAACGUGCCUAGUAGCGGGGAUAACUACGCGAAAGCGUAGCUAAUACUGCAUACGCCCUUCGGGGAAAGCGGGGACCUUCGGGCUUCGCACUAUUAGAGCGGCCGAUAUCGGAUUAGCUAGUUGCGGGGUAACGGCUCACCAAGGCGACGAGUAGCUGGUUUGAGAGAGGACGACCAGCCACACUGGGACUGAGACACGGCCCAGGACUCCUACGGGAGGCAGCAGUGGGGAAUUUUACAAUGGGGGAAACCCUGAUCCAGCCAUCCCGCGUGUGCGAUGGGGGCCUUCGGGUUGUAAAGCACUUUUGGCAGGAAAGAAACGCAUCGGAUAAUACCCCGUGCAACUGACGGUACCUGCAGAAUAAGCACUGGUUAACUACGUGCCAGCAGCCGCGGUGGUAAUACGUAGGGUGCAAGCGUUAAUCGGAAUUACUGGGCGUAAAAGCGUGCGCAGGCGGUUCGGAAAGAAAGAUGUGGAAUCCCAGAGCUUAACUUUGGAACUGCCAUUUUUAACUACCGAGCUAGAGCACAAGAGGGUGAAUUCCGCGUGUAGCAGUGAAUGCGUAGAUAUGCGGAGGAACACCGAUGGCGAAGGCAGCCUCCUAUACCACUGACGCUCAUGCACGAAAGCGUGGGGAGCAAACAGGAUUAGAUACCCUGGUAGUCCACGCCCUAAACGAUGUCAACUAGCUGUUGGGGCCUUUGGCCUGGUAGCGCAGCUAACGCGUGAAGUUGACCGCCUGGGGAGUACGGUCGCAAGAUUAAAACUCAAAGAAUUGACGGGGACCCGCACAAGCGGUGGAUGAUGUGGAUUAAUUCGAUGCAACGCGAAAAACCUUACCUACCCUUGACAUGUCUGGAAUCCCGAAGAGAUUUGGGGAAGGAGUGCUCGCAAGAGAACCGGAACACAGGUGCUGCAUGGCUGUCGUCAGCUCGUGUCGUGAGAUGUUGGGUUAAGUCCUAAUUGAGCGCAACCCUUGUCAUUAGUUGCUACGAAAGGCACCCACGAGACUGCCGGUGACAAACCGAGGAAGGUGGGGAUGACGUCAAGUCCUCAUGGCCCUUGCGGGUAGGGCUUCAUGACGUCAUACAAUGGUCGGGAUAGAGAGGGUCGCCAACCCGCGAGGGGGAGCUAAUCCCAGAAACCCGAUCGUGGUCCGGAUCGCAGUCUGCAACUCACCGGUGUGAAGUCGGAAUCGCUAGGUAAUCGAUCAGCACAAGUCGCGGUGAAUACGUUCCGGGUCUUGUACACACCGCCCGUCACACCAUGGAGCGGGUUUACCAGAAGUAGUUAGCCUAACCGUAAGGAGGGCGAUUACCACGGUAGGAUUCAUGACUGGGGUGAAGUCGUAACAAGGGUAGCCC